Poecilia latipinna (sailfin molly) is the source of this 150-nucleotide long non-coding RNA. RefSeq lists it as uncharacterized. The transcript is spliced from 3 exons. The record is from RefSeq and is a predicted model, not a curated record. NCBI's taxonomy places the organism in Eukaryota, Metazoa, Chordata, Actinopteri, Cyprinodontiformes, Poeciliidae.
AGUAACUAAAUUACAUUAAAAGUAACUUUUUAGUUACUUUCAGCAGCUGCUAACACUCCGCCACCUGUGAAAAUUACUUUGAGCUUUGCCAAAACUUAAUUGCAAGCUAUUUUAUAAUAGUAACAUCAACAAUGUGUGCAUUAUGAAUUU